RNAcentral lists this ribosomal RNA (247 nucleotides) under uncultured bacterium. Its description in RNAcentral is "partial 16S ribosomal RNA". It matches the Rfam family "Bacterial small subunit ribosomal RNA", at positions 523 to 769 of the family's 1533-position model. The record is from RNAcentral.
AUACGUAGGUGGCAAGCGUUGUCCGGAAUUACUGGGUGUAAAGGGAGCGCAGGCGGGAUAUCAAGUCAGCUGUGAAAUGUAGAUGCUCAACAUCUGCACUGCAGUUGAAACUGGUGUUCUUGAGUGCGUAAGAGGUAGGCGGAAUUCGUCGUGUAGCGGUGAAAUGCAUAGAUAUGACGAAGAACUCCGAUUGCGAAGGCAGCUUACUGGGCCGCAACUGACGCUGAAGCUCGAAGGUGCGGGUAUC